Molecule: ribosomal RNA, 527 nt
Filed under: uncultured bacterium
Lineage: Bacteria
Description: bacterial SSU rRNA
Rfam family: Bacterial small subunit ribosomal RNA
Source: RNAcentral
ACAUCCAGAGAAUUUAGCAGAGAUGCUUUAGUGCCUUCGGGAACUCUGAGACAGGUGCUGCAUGGCUGUCGUCAGCUCGUGUUGUGAAAUGUUGGGUUAAGUCCCGNAACGAGCGCAACCCUUAUCCUUUGUUGCCAGCACGUAAUGGUGGGAACUCAAAGGAGACUGCCGGUGAUAAACCGGAGGAAGGUGGGGAUGACGUCAAGUCAUCAUGGCCCUUACGAGUAGGGCUACACACGUGCUACAAUGGCGCAUACAAAGAGAAGCGACCUCGCGAGAGCAAGCGGACCUCAUAAAGUGCGUCGUAGUCCGGAUUGGAGUCUGCAACUCGACUCCAUGAAGUCGGAAUCGCUAGUAAUCGUAAAUCAGAAUGUUACGGUGAAUACGUUCCCGGGCCUUGUACACACCGCCCGUCACACCAUGGGAGUGGGUUGCAAAAGAAGUAGAUAGCUUAACCUUCGGGAGGGCGUUUACCACUUUGUGAUUCAUGACUGGGGGUGAAGUCGUAACAAGGUAGGCGUAGUGCU